CUCCAAGUUCUAAGCCGGAAGGUGCCUGUGAGGUGGCACAGAGCCCUUGUGGAAAGCAGUGCUCUCUUGGGUGUGCAGGUGUCCUACCACCACGUUCAGCGCCCCUGGGUCUUCCACCAGGCCAUGCACCUGGCCCAGUGAAGCAGCACUACACAAGACAGCUUCCAAAAUCAAGUUCAAGUUCGCACUGUAUGUGACUAGGUCUAAAAGUAGACCACUCGGCCGCGCAUGACUGGAAUGUGACGAGGAGACGUGAGGCCUGUGUCGAAGUUCACACGCCCAUCUCUGUGGCCAGCAUUCACCUUGUGCACUUGGCCAGCUCACCAGCACCGCGAGGAUGGCACCUAGGAUGGAGGAGUGAGGUGGGCUCAGGGUUCAGGAGCAGACAGCCAGCGGGGGCCCCCGGCUGCAGGGUGGCAGGAGGCUGGCUUUGGGCUCAGGUUGGGCUGAAAUCUCAAGAAGAGUCCCAGGUUUGAUUCCCACUGUUUCUGCUUGUGAUGAGAGAGUCACUGAGGACCAGAAGCACUGGGCUCAGGGGCCACGGCAGAACACCGCGUGCUGUCCCAGAACCACUUGACUUGGUACUCCGUUCCUUUACUUUUAUUUUAGCUUUUUGAAAAAUAAGAUGCUUCUUGCUGGGCGCAGUGGCACCCGCCUGUAAUCCCAGUGGCUCAGGAGGCCAGUACAGCAGGAUCACGAGUUCAAAGCCAGACUCAGCAAAAGUGAGGCGUUAAGGAACUCAGUGAGACCCUGUCUCUAAAUAAAAUACAAAAUAGGGCUGGGUGUGGCUCAGUGGCUGAGUGACCCCGAGUUCAAUCCCCGGUAACACCCCCCCCCAACGAAAUAAUAAUAAAAUAAAAAAUAAGAUGCUUCUUAAAUGGAGUUAUUUCCUCCCCCUCUGC
This 902-nucleotide long non-coding RNA is filed under the name Marmota monax (woodchuck). The record is from RNAcentral. Lineage: Eukaryota; Metazoa; Chordata; Mammalia; Rodentia; Sciuridae.